This is an RNA transcript of Myotis lucifugus (little brown bat), 6201 nucleotides long. It is a transcript of the gene named DEAD-box helicase 6, with no coding region annotated. The transcript is spliced from 15 exons. The record is from RefSeq and is a predicted model, not a curated record. Lineage: Eukaryota; Metazoa; Chordata; Mammalia; Chiroptera; Vespertilionidae.
CGCCGCCAUUUUGGGAGCUUCGAGUCAACAAUAAAGGGCCGAGGGUGCGAGCGGAGCGGCCUCGGCGAUUGAAGUGAGUGAAUUCAGAUAUAUAACCAAACCUCGUUAGAGAGCCUUUAAAAAAAUAAAAAGUUGAUUCGGUGCAUGAGAGCAAGUUACUGCUGCUUACUAUUCAGAGACUUACAGGUGCUUGCCUGCAUUGCAAUAAAGGACUCAAUAUUGAGCAAGACUUAUAUUUAUCUCUUCAUUUUGGAGAGCCUAAUAAACUGUAUUACAGUUUCUCUACUGACUUUCAAAAGUUUUGAAGUUUGGAAGAGACAUCUGUACAUUUAAUACAGCAUGAGCACGGCCAGAACAGAGAACCCUGUUAUAAUGGGUCUGUCCAGUCAAAAUGGUCAGCUGAGGGGCCCUGUGAAGCCCAGUGGUGGCCCCGGAGGAGGGGGCACACCAACACAGCAACAGAUGAACCAACUGAAAAACACCAACACAAUCAAUAAUGGCACUCAGCAGCAAGCACAGAGUAUGACCACCACUAUUAAACCUGGUGAUGACUGGAAAAAGACUUUAAAACUCCCUCCAAAGGAUCUAAGAAUCAAAACUUCGGAUGUAACCUCCACAAAAGGAAAUGAGUUUGAAGAUUACUGUUUAAAGCGGGAGUUACUGAUGGGAAUUUUUGAAAUGGGCUGGGAAAAGCCAUCUCCUAUUCAGGAGGAGAGCAUUCCCAUCGCUUUAUCUGGUAGGGAUAUCUUAGCUAGAGCAAAAAAUGGAACGGGCAAGAGUGGUGCCUACCUCAUUCCCUUACUUGAACGGCUAGACCUGAAGAAGGACAAUAUACAAGCAAUGGUGAUUGUUCCUACAAGAGAACUUGCUCUACAGGUCAGUCAAAUUUGCAUCCAGGUCAGCAAACACAUGGGAGGGGCCAAAGUGAUGGCAACCACAGGAGGAACCAAUUUACGUGAUGACAUAAUGAGGCUUGAUGAUACAGUGCACGUGGUAAUAGCUACCCCUGGGAGAAUCCUGGAUCUUAUCAAGAAAGGAGUAGCAAAAGUUGAUCAUGUCCAGAUGAUAGUAUUGGAUGAGGCAGAUAAGUUGCUGUCACAGGAUUUUGUGCAAAUAAUGGAGGAUAUUAUUCUCACGCUACCUAAAAACAGACAGAUUUUAUUGUAUUCCGCUACUUUCCCUCUUAGUGUACAGAAGUUCAUGAAUUCCCAUUUGCAGAAACCCUAUGAGAUUAACCUGAUGGAGGAAUUAACUUUGAAGGGAGUAACCCAGUACUACGCAUAUGUAACUGAGCGCCAAAAAGUACACUGCCUCAACACACUUUUCUCCAGGCUUCAGAUAAACCAGUCGAUCAUUUUCUGUAACUCCUCUCAGCGAGUUGAAUUGCUAGCCAAGAAGAUUUCUCAACUGGGUUAUUCUUGCUUCUAUAUCCAUGCUAAAAUGAGGCAGGAACAUCGAAAUCGUGUCUUUCAUGAUUUCCGAAAUGGCUUAUGCCGCAAUCUUGUUUGCACUGAUUUGUUUACCCGAGGUAUUGAUAUACAAGCUGUGAAUGUGGUAAUAAACUUUGACUUCCCAAAGCUGGCAGAGACCUAUCUCCAUCGCAUUGGAAGAUCGGGUCGCUUUGGUCAUCUUGGCUUAGCUAUCAACUUGAUCACAUAUGAUGAUCGCUUCAACCUGAAAAGUAUUGAGGAGCAGCUGGGAACAGAAAUUAAACCUAUCCCAAGCAACAUUGACAAGAGCCUAUAUGUGGCCGAAUACCACAGCGAGCCUGUAGAAGAUGAUAAACCAUAACAAGCAUGUGCGUACCUACAGAAUAGCUAAUCAUCUCUGUUGGAAUUCACUCUUCAUUUCAAAUGGGUGCCUCAGCUUUGACAAACUAAAGAAGGCUUGCUUGGAUCUGUGACACAUCAUUUUGGGGGGGAUGCUCUUCUCUUGUGGGUUUUUCAUCUUUUAUUUUGGAACUAUGAAGAUUUAAAAGAACUCAGACAUUUUUUUCUUUUUUAACUGGUGAAGAGAAAAAAGCUGAAAAGAAGGAAUUUACCUUUUUUGUUCCACUUGUUUGCACUGUGUGCUGACUGAACAUUAGUUGCACUAACUGCUGGAUUUUUAAAAAUGUUUUCUGGGGAAAAGGGGGACAAGGAAGGAGGAGAAAGAAGAGAAGGGAGAAACCCUAAAAAGAGAAGAAUCUUGAUGAACACACAAGCUUGUCUAUUAUUUCCGAAUUCUGCAACAGCUGACUCUUGUGCAUUUCAACUUCUCCCUGAUGACUCAUCCGUUUUUUAAGCCUGAAGAGCUUAUUACUUAUUUGUGCGAAGUGCCUUAUGCUAUGAGACCAUUCAGAAUAUCAUCUUUUAGACACAGCCCAAGGAAUCAACAAUAGUAAUUCUUUCCUUUUAUUUCUUUUUAAAACUUUUUAUUUCAUUUUGGUUUCACGUUGAAGUCUCUCCCCUUUCUACCCAGUACUCAAGCCCAGGGCUGAAAGAUGAAACCUAUUAGUAAUGUUAAACACCAUUUUUUUUCUUUAAGUGGAGGAGUUGAUAUGCAACUGCAGUUCAUCCGCACUGUAAAUACAUGUAUUUAAGAAACAACCACACAAUCCCAAGUAAAAAUUUCUUCUGGGCUGAGUCGAUGCAACAUCAUUGCUCCCAAAGGAAAGAGCGUCUCUGUCAUUGCAGGAGCCAUACGACAAGCCUUUGUGCUCUGUACGGAACACUAAAGACUGGUUCACGUGUCUCCAUUCGCAGCUAUGGCACUUGAGGUGUAGCCUGUCAGCCUUGACCCUCUUUCCUCUGGCAAAGCGUGUCCCAUAGAAAACUGGGUGUGUACACUUGUAUAAACUUUGUAAAUAUGUUUUUUUCUGCGUUCAUAUAUAUAUAUAUAUAUAUAUAUAUAUAUAUAUAUAUAUACACAUACAUAUACAUAUAUAUAUAUAUAUUUUUGUUUUGUUUUUGAUGAAAGGUUGCUGGGAUAAAGGGGGAUUUAGAGUGAAUAAUGGGAGCAGCUAAGAUGAGAGGGGCUCAGUUUUCCGCAACACUAAAUUCUAGAAAGUACUUUAACCUCUUACUGUAGCAAGCAGACUCCUGUGGGGACCCUGUGCUGGGAAAGGGCCCCAGAAGUCUUCACUGUUUGCUGCCACACUGUCUCUAGUGUCUUUAGAGGAGGGAGGCCUGCCAGAGGGAGCAAGGAAACUUCAAAAACCUGUCAUUCCUGGUGUUAUUUUUGAAAGGCUCUCUCUGAUUGUGCUUUUUUCCCCUUUUUUAAAGUUUGAGAAACUUUUUAAGCUCUGCAAAAGGGGACAAAGAUUAAUUACAUUGCAGUGUGGAAACUCCCUUGAGUGGCAGUAUUGAGCAGUAUAUGUAUAAAGCGUGAGUUUGCGUUUCACAAUAUUAGCCAGUACCAGCUUCGGUAAGGCUAGCAGUUCUGGGGCUUCGUUUUUGUGGGUCACUUCCUGUACUGUGUAAGUGUGUUGCCUUCUGCCCACUUUGAUACGUAAACUUGCAGGAACGGGCAACCCUGAGAGCUGCUGCUUGCCAUGCUUUAGCUUUGUGACGAGAAUUGUCAUGUUUGCAUUGUAAAUUGCUGGCAAAUGCUUUACAGUCAAUAGUGUUGCAUUAAAUUGUGCCCCUCCCAACAUGCUUGAUGUUUGGCCUGAUCUCCAGGCAAAAGGAGUGAGAUGAAUCAAAACCAGUGAACUUUUUUUAAAAAACGUUUUUAAUUCCCUUUUAACCCAGUGUACUAGGUCAAUCAGGAGGCAUCUAGGGUUUAAAAAAAAAAGGCAAAAUAAAAAUUUUUUUAUUUGAUUUCCAUAUUCCAUUGUUUUUCAAAGCCCUAAAAUAGUACAAGUCCUGCCUAUGUUUUCAUGCUUAACUCAUCUGGAUAAAGAAAUCAGUUACUCAAAGUUUCUUUUUUGACUCUGUCUAGUUCUAAACAAAAAUGAUUUGUGACUCACCCAGAAUUCCCUGAAGAUCAAAAUCCUGCAGAUGCCUCCUGAUCAGACAUAGCCCUAACUCCUUAGAAACUAGCAAGAGCUGCACAGUACAAACCCCCCAAAAUAAGCUCAUUUAUUUGGUAUCCAUGCCACAUAGGUUCUUCUACCAGCCAUUGUUGGCAACUAAGUACAAGCCCUAGUUAAGGGAGUAACUUUUUUUCCAGGGAGGGGUGGAGGGAGGGAAUUUAAAAGGCAUCAACUUUUGACCAAAAAAUAUAUAUAUAUAUAAAUAUAUAUAUAUCUUACUGUGUACUGAUGCAGCCCUCUCUUUCCUCCCCAUCUCUGGCAAGAUAAGAGGGAUCAUUCUAGAAGAAAAGCAAGAAAGCUCAUAAAUGCAGUUUUAUAUCUCGCUAGAGUGCGGGUGACUAUAAACAGCACAGUCCUCUCUGCCAUCCUCAGACUGUCUGCUUGGUGCCACGUGCCUGUGGGUCCCUCUUAAAGCACAGACGUUAAAUUGAAAGUAUUCCUGAAGUACAGCCUCGGAUGAGGAGUGGCACUUAAACUGUCUGGGACACCGGGAUUGGACACGGCCUUGUGCGGGCAGCUGUCCAGUUUUGGUGCUUGACUCUUGAAUAGGAAUUGUAAAACGGAAAGAUGCUCUAAGGCAGCGGUCACCAACCAGUGGUCCAUGAGGUCCGAAAGGUUGGCGACUGCUGCUCUAAGACUAGGUCAAAGCCUAGUCUCUUUUUCUUUUUAAAUCCCCUUCGCAAUAAGGAGCAUUUGUUACUAUUGGAAGUUGUUUUCGUGUUCUUCCGGUAUAGGGUGUUUAUUUUAAGUCAUGGUGAUAUUUUUUCCAGUGGUUCAUUUGGAUGAAAACUAUUCCCUCUUUUUAAUACUUAAAUAACGUCAGCCCAUUGUUCAGCCUGUGGUUAUGUGGUUGUGUGAUGGUUAUGGACCCUUGCACACCUUGCUGCCUCUGGGCCUGUUUUGCCUUUCCUUUAGGAUUGGACUAAAUUCCAAAAUUAUCUUCCAUGGGAAGAAGUAAAGGAGAGAGAAAUCUAAAUAUGUCUCUAAAUUGUCCAGUUUGCCCCGCACCAUAAUACAGGGGGCCCCAAAGGCGGGGGGUGGGGGCGGGCGGUUAUCAGUAUUUGUUUUCAGAAUGAGAUGGGAGCAUCUUUCCUCUGCCGUGUGCUUUGUGUUUGAUACCAUCAUGCUUGGGUCAGAACCAGACGACUCAGCACAAAGCCUGGAGUGUAAACUGUUGGAAUCAAACAUCUCAUUCUGAUCACUUGGCUUAAUUUUUUUUCUUUUUUUUUAUAGGGGUGGGAGGGAGGUGACUGCCCAAAGGGAGGGUGUCUGCACUGAGGAUUUAGAAACACUUUGAAGCUCAUAGCCUCGUCAGAAGUUGCCUUUAGCCACACUCUGACCUUAUGGAUGAGUAACACAAAGAUGAAGUAAAUUCUUGGGAAUUAAGCCAUGUUAUUUUAAUUUGCCACUUUGUUCAGCGUUGUAUGUAUCUUAAAAAUUGUUAUUGUGAAAUCAUUUUCUGGCAAAAUAUCUUUGUCAAACAAAAUUAUAGGCCUAGUGGGAGUUGAUGUUAGUCAACUUUUUGGUGAACUUAAGUGAACUUGAGUGAGCUUGUGGUUCUACUGUAUAUCCUUAAAGAUCGUUUUUAAAGCUCCCAAAGAAAGUCUACUCCUGACCUAAAAACUCAUCUUUGGGGUAAAGAGUUAAGGGUCCAAAGGCUAUAGCAGUUCAUGAGGUCAGAGGGAGCCAGCCUGGCAUGGACUCUGCCCCUCCACAGCUGACAGGUUCCAACAGGAAGUGUAUUUAAAUUCUCUGUAGACAAUGCUGGGCAGGGGAGGGGAGGGUUGGGUUAUGAAGAUACAGGCUACUGUGUUUUAACCAGUGGUUGUGGGGAGGGGUGCCUGGAGGAAACAAAGUCACUAUUCCCUUUUUGAAACAAAACUAAAACCUGAAAAUUUUUGUUCAAUGAAAAUGGGGUCUAAUUUCAUUGUCCCUAGCCACAAGGGACCAGUUCCACUGAGAAAUGAACAGUGGGGACUCAAAAUUUUGCAAACAUUUGGGGGAAGGGACAAUUGGCUUUCUGUUAAUUGGCAAAUGUUCCAGUGGGGCUUCCUUUUUGUUGGGGGGUGUUAUGUUGUAGGUGCACAUGUGGACCAGAGUCUGCUGAGGUUAUAAAGUUCAGAAAAGAUGGUUGAUAAAAUCUUGGCUUUUGUUAAUGUAUCUCAAUAAAGCCCACUGGAACUCCA